UACGGAGGGUGCGAGCGUUAACCGGAAUUACUGGGCGUAAAGCGCGCGUAGGCGGCGUGAUAAGCCGGUUGUGAAAGCCCCGGGCUCAACCUGGGAACGGCAUCCGGAACUGUCAGGCUAGAGUGCAGGGGAGGAAGGUAGAAUUCCCGGUGUGGCGGUGAAAUGCGUAGAGAUCGGGAGGAAUACCAGUGGCGAAGGCGGCCGUCUGGACUGACACUGACGCUGAGGUGCGAAAGCGUGGGGAGCAAACCGG
RNAcentral lists this unclassified non-coding RNA (253 nucleotides) under uncultured Halomonadaceae bacterium. RNAcentral's name for it is "contains 16S-23S intergenic spacer region". It matches the Rfam family "Bacterial small subunit ribosomal RNA", at positions 524 to 776 of the family's 1533-position model. The record is from RNAcentral. Lineage: Bacteria; Pseudomonadati; Pseudomonadota; Gammaproteobacteria; Oceanospirillales; Halomonadaceae.